GAUUCUGGCUCAGGAUGAACGCUGGCGGCAUGCCUAAUACAUGCAAGUCGAACGGGAGUGCUUGCACUCCAGUGGCGAACGGGUGAGUAAUACAUAGGUAACCUGUCCUUAAGACGAGGAUAGCUUCUAGAAAUGGAAGAUAAAACUGGAUAGGACAUCACGAAUCACAUGAUUAGAUGUUUAAAAGAGCAAUCUACUUAAGGAGGGGCCUGUGGCGCAUUAGCCAGAUGGCGGGGUAAUGGCCCACCAUAGCGAUGAUGCGUAGCCGGUCUGAGAGGACGAACGGCCACAUUGGGACUGAGACACGGCCCAGACUCCUACGGGAGGCAGCAGUAGGGAAUUUUCGGCAAUGGGUGGAAGCCUGACCGGGCAAUGCCGCGUGAAUGAAGAAGUAUUUCGGUAUGUAAAGUUCUUUUAUUUGGGACGAAAAAACAAAUUGACGGUACCAAAUGAAUAAGCCCCGGCUAACUAUGUGCCAGCAGCAGC
RNAcentral lists this ribosomal RNA (486 nucleotides) under uncultured bacterium. Its description in RNAcentral is "bacterial SSU rRNA". It matches the Rfam family "Bacterial small subunit ribosomal RNA", at positions 15 to 518 of the family's 1533-position model. The record is from RNAcentral.